UGUGUGUGUUGCUGGUGUCAGUUUCCUCUGCUGGGAUCAGGUUUCUCUGUUCUGGAUCUCCUGCAGAGCCGUCGAUAGGAGACGAAGGCUCACUGGUGAGGAGUAAAGUGGAGCAGAUUCAGAAGCAGCCUGUCUGUCACGUUACCUUCUGUAAGUCAGACUCCGGCUGACUCCAGGUCAGCAGCCGCUGGGACGUGUCUCUCAUCUCAAGGGGAGGACAGCUGCUGGGGGACUUUGGACGUUGCAUGCUGUGUCUUAAAGUCGGUGUGAGACGCGCUGAACUCAGCUUGAAGCUCGUUUUGACGUGUUUCUUCCUCCCGCUGUGUGACCAGCGCCCUCUACAGGCGACAGGAAACAGUCAUACAGGAGCCGCUGUGGUCUCAGUCUGGACUCGCCCUCAGCCGUCUUUAGACCCGGUCUUCAGUCUGGACUCGCCCUCAGCCGUCUUUAGACCCGGUCUUCAGUCUGGACUCGAGCUCAGUGAUGGCAGGAUCUGGUGUUGCUCUGAGGCUACAUGAGUUCAGAGAGGCUCAGGACUCGAGAGCAGCAGCAUUAAGGCCGAAACCCUCACGUCAGGGGACAGACGUACGUGGACUCUACCCGGGACAGCUGGGCAGAGUCCAUACUGUCCACUCAAAGGAUUGUGGGUAAGUUUAUGGCUACUGAGUGUGUGAAGUGGUGAUGUGAUUGUUGGUUGGUCGAGGUGGUCCGAGCAGCACCGCCAACCCCUCCGGCCCCCAGGGACGAACCAGAGCACCUGUAUGGUAGUCUGGCCGGUAGAGCAAACACUGUGUCUGGUUCUGGACCAGAGACCAACAAAAAGCCUGCAUGUGAGUCCACAACAUCCCCAAAUGAAACGCUCCAUGUUCUGUUUCCUGUGGCGUCCUCACAGCAGAGGGUCUCGGUCCCUGCGCGAGUCUCCUCGGGCUCCGAACCCGCCGUGUGAAGACUUCCAGCAGAGCUUUGACGUCCACACCCUGAGAGCCCUGACCGCCCUCCAUCACAGCCCUGCUGUCCCGGAACAGCGCCCCCCGCUGACGGCCUAUCAGGAGCACUUUGGUCUCCAGUCUCUUCCUUCUCCUCCGUUUUAAAGUCACGUGAGAGGCUCGACAUUAUCGAUCAGAGCCUUUUGCAAACUGCUGGCAUCCACAGCACACCCAGCGCUGAGCGGUGGGGCUCCUGACACGGUUUGAUCGGAAUAAAACUGGAACAGAAUGAUUAUGUGUGUGUGUGUGUUUGAUGAUCUCAAAUCAUCUCAGUUAUUAGCAGGUCUGCUGGGCAUAACACUAAACUGUCCACUGCACGUAUACUUUUGAGAGAAGAUGGUUUAAAUAUUUUUGGACGGAGUGUGCUGUAAUAACUGAGUUAUUAUUUGUGAUUAUUUUUACAUCCACAGUAGCAUCAGGUGGCCACCAGAGGGGGCUAAUAUACAAAUGA
Molecule: long non-coding RNA, 1437 nt
Organism: Scatophagus argus
Lineage: Eukaryota; Metazoa; Chordata; Actinopteri; Scatophagidae
Exons: 3
Source: RefSeq, a predicted model, not a curated record